AAGCGAAAGUGACGGUACUUGCAGAAGAAGCACCGNCUNNNNAUGUGCCAGCAGCCGCGGUAAUACAUAGGGUGCAAGCGUUGUCCGGAAUUAUUGGGCGUAAAGAGCUCGUAGGUGGUUCGUCACGUCGGAUGUGAAAAUCUGGGGCUUAACCCCAGACCUGCAUUCGAUACGGGCGAGCUAGAGUGUGGUAGGGGAGACUGGAAUUCCUGGUGUAGCGGUGGAAUGCGCAGAUAUCAGGAGGAACACCAAUGGCGAAGGCAGGUCUCUGGGCCAUUACUGACACUGAGGAGCGAAAGCGUGGGGAGCGAACAGGAUUAGAUACCCUGGUAGUCCACGCCGUAAACGGUGGGCACUAGUUGUGGGAACCUUCCACGGUUNNUGCGACGCAGCUAACGCAUUAAGUGCCCCGCCUGGGGAGUACGAUCGCAAGAUUAAAACUCAAAGGAAUUGACGGGGCCCCGCACAAGCAGCGGAGCAUGCGGCUUAAUUCGACGCAACGCGAAGAACCUUACCAAGGCUUGACAUAUACAGGAAUAUGGCAGAAAUUCCAUAGCCGCAAGGUCUGUAUACAGGUGGUGCAUGGUUGUCGUCAGCUCGUGUCGUGAGAUGUUGGGUUAAGUCCCGCAACGAGCGCAACCCUCGUUCUGUGUUGCCAGCAUUUAGUUGGGGACUCACAGGAGACUGCCGGGGUUAACUCGGAGGAAGGU
RNAcentral lists this ribosomal RNA (710 nucleotides) under uncultured bacterium. RNAcentral's name for it is "bacterial SSU rRNA". It matches the Rfam family "Bacterial small subunit ribosomal RNA", at positions 461 to 1174 of the family's 1533-position model. The record is from RNAcentral.